AUUGAACGCUGGCGGCAGGCCUAACACAUGCAAGUCGAGCGGAUGAAGGGAGCUUGCUCCUGGAUUCAGCGGCGGACGGGUGAGUAAUGCCUAGGAAUCUGCCUGGUAGUGGGGGAUAACGUCCGGAAACGGGCGCUAAUACCGCAUACGUCCUGAGGGAGAAAGUGGGGGAUCUUCGGACCUCACGCUAUCAGAUGAGCCUAGGUCGGAUUAGCUAGUUGGUGGGGUAAAGGCCUACCAAGGCGACGAUCCGUAACUGGUCUGAGAGGAUGAUCAGUCACACUGGAACUGAGACACGGUCCAGACUCCUAAGGGAGGCAGCAGUGGGGAAUAUUGGACAAUGGGCGAAAGCCUGAUCCAGCCAUGCCGCGUGUGUGAAGAAGGUCUUCGGAUUGUAAAGAACUUUAAGUUGGGAGGAAGGGCAGUAAGUUAAUACCUUGCUGGUUUGACGUUACCAACAGAAUAAGCACCGGCUAACUUCGUG
Molecule: ribosomal RNA, 484 nt
Filed under: uncultured bacterium
Lineage: Bacteria
Description: partial 16S ribosomal RNA
Rfam family: Bacterial small subunit ribosomal RNA
Source: RNAcentral